UCAAGAUGGUCGAUCAAGAGUAAAUAAAGUGCUAAAAAUGUGAAGACCAAAUAUAUCAUAGGCUAUUUCAAACAAUUUAAAGAGGCAAACAAGAUGUGUGAGAAACAAAUUUACCAACGAAAAUACCGUAGAAUAGUUGCAUGAACUUCAGGACCUCGAUACACCACAAAUUCAAAAAUGUACAAUGUGUUUUCCUCCUAACUCGCUCACCCAUGCAUUAAGGGCAUGGAAUGCAUCCUUCCUACUUCUGUGGAUACACAAUAAUUUACACAAUGUAGAGUCAGCUAUCCUCCUCACUCUCACCCAGGCAUACAAUCUGCAAAGCUUCAAAUUUAUCCUUCCCUGCUGCCAUACAUGAAACGAUGUUCCCGAUAGUUACCAACAGAUAAUAUGUCCAUACAUUAUAUCACAAAGUAAUAAAAAAAGAUAUUUAGCAUAUGAACUUGUUGAAGCAUUAAAUUUUGCAUUAAAUUUUAUACAAGGAAACAGACUGCAAGAGUAGACGCGUAUUUUCAUGUCUUACAUUAGUUACUUAAUCAUAUCCCAUAAAGUAACUAUGCUGUAACAAGAUGCUAACAUUCAUGUUUCUUCUAUGCACAUCUCGACUAAUGUUCAUUAAAAACAAAACAUCAAUAAGGUAAAACUGAAGGACACAAUUUCAAGACCCUUUAUUUUAAUUUCCAAUAGCAUGCCAAACCUCACACAUAUAUAACAUUUCCAAGAUAAUAUGUCACGUGAAAUUGACAAUUCUUCAUGGAGAUACAAUCACAAGAUUAAAUGUACAUAUACUAAAAUAUAGGUUACCUAAUACAACCGGACAUGUCAAAUAAAUAUGCGGAAUCAAAUCACAUGCUUGCAAAGAGGAUGACAAAGCAACAUGAGUAAAAACUAAUCGGAUUAUACAUUGGAAUCGCAACUGGAACCUACUUGUAUUUAAGUUAUGAAAAUUGUGAACUAUGUAUCAUGAAAAAAUUUCAUUCUACAGAGGGGUUCAAACCGUGUUCUCCUAUCCACCCCUUUGUUCAAAGAAAGAUACCUAAUUGGAAAUUAUUGAGCUGAUCUCAUACCUGAAGCGUGAAUGCCAACUAUCAUUGCAUUCAUUUCAGUCUCAAUGCAUGGAUGUUCAAAGACAUUUGAUACACCAGAACAAAAGAUUGUCCCAUUCAUAAAUUUUCAUGAAUGCAGGCAGUGGCGGAGCCAGGAAUUUGCACCUUGGUAUUCAUCGUAAAAUAAAGUUAUGCAAUGCAAUUGAAAUAUAUCAUCAAAUGUACAAAAGGCAAAGAGUCAAUGAUCACAUAUCCAUAAUAGUAAUCAAAUAGCAUUAUGGUAAUAUCUCUAACAGUUAAUUUUUAUUUUUUUCAAAAGGAGGCAUAAGCUUCACCAUAUCGAUUAACUGAGAAGAUAACAGAGUUUGUGUUAAAAUAGACACACUUAUAACCAAAAAGUUACUCUUUCAUGUUAUUGUCCCUAAUUUUUUGGCACCCGCAGUGACCCAAACGCUUUGCCUUAUUUUUGAUUGUGCUAAGAACAAUAGGCGGAGGGGUGCUCCUGUGACCAAAAAGUGUUCUAUUUGUUUCAAAUCAUCGAACACACAAGCAUUGUGACUUUGUGAGAGAUGCCAUGGAUUUUCUAUGAUUUUGAAAACAAAAAAACUAUGAUUUUGAAACGGAAGCAUAAGCUUUGCCUCACCGGUUAAUCAAACAAAAACCGGGAUUUUGAGAACUGAGAAAUAGCAAAGGAAAUGUACAAAAUCUAAGUUUUUGUUUUCAUGCAGGGUAGCAGUGUAGUACAAUGCUUUGAUCAAGAGAAUUAGGCAAGACCCGUUCUGAAUCAAAGUAGCAGCCAUGUUUGGUGUUCAGUGCAAGUGUAUAUGGGGAGAUGAUGGCAUGGACGCUAUUUAUUGAUUUCCAUCUUACAGACAUCAUUUAAUGGCAACCGAAUCCGUAUAUAACCCUGCAUGAGUUACUACCUCAGUUAUGCUGUAUUAUACUCCCUCCGUUCCAAAUUACUCAUCGUGGUUUUAGUUCAAACCACGGCGAGUAAAACCACGAUGAGUAAUUUGGAAAGGAGGGAGUAAUAUAGUUGAUUAGAAUGGCUAAGCCACCAAGAGUAUAUGAAAUGGACAUGGUUGUACGAAAUUUAUACAUGAGCUAUACUCUGUUCCCAGAGUUGCAAUCAAUUAGGUUGAGAUGGAACAAAGCCAAAUGAGAUGCCUGGUGUGGAAUUUUCUAGCUGAGAGCCAAUCAGUACGGCAUCUACUUCCAUGUUAGGAGGUACAGUAUGCAGUUUUAUGUAUGAUUUGGACAUACCAUUUUGCAGUGGCGCUGAAGCUUUCCUGGCAGAUUUGACAAUUAGCCUCACCAAUCAAGUUC
This 2372-nucleotide long non-coding RNA is filed under the name Triticum aestivum (bread wheat). RNAcentral describes it as "long non-coding RNA (TAES_LNC002005)". Lineage: Eukaryota; Viridiplantae; Streptophyta; Magnoliopsida; Poales; Poaceae. The record is from RNAcentral.